This 254-nucleotide ribosomal RNA is filed under the name uncultured bacterium. Its description in RNAcentral is "partial 16S ribosomal RNA". It matches the Rfam family "Bacterial small subunit ribosomal RNA", at positions 524 to 776 of the family's 1533-position model. The record is from RNAcentral.
GACGAACCGUGCGAACGUUAUUCGGAAUCACUGGGCUUAAAGCGCGUGUAGGCGGGCCGGCACGUCGGGCGCUGAAAUCCCCCGGCUCAACCGGGGAAGGGGCGCCGAUACGGCCGGCCUGGAGGGACGUAGGGGGGGCUGGAACUUCCGGUGGAGCGGUGAAAUGCGUUGAGAUCGGAAGGAACGCCCGUGGCGAAAGCGAGCCCCUGGACGUCUACUGACGCUGAGACGCGAAAGCCAGGGGAGCGAACGGG